UGUUUAUUUUUUUUUUUGGUUUUUUUUUAAGGGUUUUCACUUCUCUCAGAUUGAACGCUGGCGGCAGGCCUAACACAUGCAAGUCGAGCGGCAGCACGGGUACUUGUACCUGGUGGCGAGCGGCGGACGGGUGAGUAAUGCCUAGGAAUCUGCCUGGUAGUGGGGGAUAACGCUCGGAAACGGACGCUAAUACCGCAUACGUCCUACGGGAGAAAGCAGGGGACCUUCGGGCCUUGCGCUAUCAGAUGAGCCUAGGUCGGAUUAGCUAGUUGGUGAGGUAAUGGCUCACCAAGGCGACGAUCCGUAACUGGUCUGAGAGGAUGAUCAGUCACACUGGAACUGAGACACGGUCCAGACUCCUACGGGAGGCAGCAGUGGGGAAUAUUGGACAAUGGGCGAAAGCCUGAUCCAGCCAUGCCGCGUGUGUGAAGAAGGUCUUCGGAUUGUAAAGCACUUUAAGUUGGGAGGAAGGGCAUUAACCUAAUACGUAAGUGUUUUGACGUUACCGACAGAAUAAGCACCGGCUAACUCUGUGCCAGCAGCCGCGGUAAUACAGAGGGUGCAAGCGUUAAUCGGAAUUACUGGGCGUAAAGCGCGCGUAGGUGGUUUGUUAAGUUGGAUGUGAAAUCCCCGGGCUCAACCUGGGAACUGCAUUCAAAACUGACAAGCUAGAGUAUGGUAGAGGGUGGUGGAAUUUCCUGUGUAGCGGUGAAAUGCGUAGAUAUAGGAAGGAACACCAGUGGCGAAGGCGACCACCUGGACUGAUACUGACACUGAGGUGCGAAAGCGUGGGGAGCAAACAGGAUUAGAUACCCUGGUAGUCCACGCCGUAAACGAUGUCAACUAGCCGUUGGGAGCCUUGAGCUCUUAGUGGCGCAGCUAACGCAUUAAGUGACCGCCUGGAGACGCCGAACUGU
This 917-nucleotide ribosomal RNA is filed under the name Pseudomonas sp. RNAcentral describes it as "bacterial SSU rRNA". It matches the Rfam family "Bacterial small subunit ribosomal RNA", at positions 1 to 890 of the family's 1533-position model. Lineage: Bacteria; Pseudomonadati; Pseudomonadota; Gammaproteobacteria; Pseudomonadales; Pseudomonadaceae. The record is from RNAcentral.